This is a long non-coding RNA of Telopea speciosissima, 132 nucleotides long. RefSeq lists it as uncharacterized. The record is from RefSeq and is a predicted model, not a curated record. Lineage: Eukaryota; Viridiplantae; Streptophyta; Magnoliopsida; Proteales; Proteaceae. The transcript is spliced from 3 exons.
AGCAAGAAGUCAUCUCAUUCCCUUCCAGUUACCAUCCCCUUCAAUGUGAACCAACGGAGUAACAAUAACAAUUUGUCAUUGCAUUACUCGGAUUCUAAUGAGAGUGACGACGAAGACCAUGAGGAACCAGAU